RNAcentral lists this ribosomal RNA (495 nucleotides) under uncultured bacterium. Its description in RNAcentral is "bacterial SSU rRNA". It matches the Rfam family "Bacterial small subunit ribosomal RNA", at positions 33 to 507 of the family's 1533-position model. The record is from RNAcentral.
GACGACGCUGGCGGCGUGGAUUAGGCAUGCAAGUCGGACGGUAGGGCUUUAUCGUAAGAUAGAGUUUGAGAGUGGCGAACGGGUGAGUAACACGUAGGAAUCUACCCUUAAGACGGGGACAACCCAGGGAAACUUGGGCUAAUACCGGAUGAGAGUGCGAGAGAUUGCAUUUAAAAGGAUGGCGAAAGUUGUCGCUUAGGGAUGAGCCUGCGGUCUAUUAGUUAGUUGGUGAGGUAAGAGCUCACCAAGGCGAUGAUAGAUAGGCGGCCGUUAACGGGUGGUCGCCCACACGUGGGAUUGAGAUACGGCCCAGACUCCUACGGGAGGCAGCAGUCGAGAAUAGUCUACAAUGGCCGGAAGGCUGAUAGUGCGACGCCGCGUGAACGAGGGAGCCCUUCGGGGUGUAAAGUUCUUUUAUAUGUGAGCAGUGCUUCUUAUAUUAACAGUAUGGGGAGAGAGAUAUUAGCAUAUGAAUAAGCAACGGCUAACUCCGUG